This 368-nucleotide unclassified non-coding RNA is filed under the name uncultured fungus. Its description in RNAcentral is "partial contains 5.8S ribosomal RNA and internal transcribed spacer 2". The stretch from base 1 to 133 matches the Rfam family "5.8S ribosomal RNA", at positions 22 to 154 of the family's 154-position model. The record is from RNAcentral. Lineage: Eukaryota; Fungi.
UGGCUCUCGCAUCGAUGAAGAACGCAGCGAAAUGCGAUAAGUAAUGUGAAUUGCAGAAUUCAGUGAAUCAUCGAAUCUUUGAACGCACCUUGCGCUCCUUGGUAUUCCGAGGAGCAUGCCUGUUUGAGUGUCUUGAAGUCAUCAACCCGCACCGUUUUGCGACGGGGCUCGGUUGGAUAUGGGGCGUGCUGCCGCGAGGCUGCUCCCCUCAAAUGCUUCGGUCCGACCUGGUCGAACUCGAAAGGGCGUUGUACCAUCCUCGCUCUCCCGAGACGUUCCUGUGGCGUCGGACCUCGACCUGCCCGUGGGGUGGCGGUCAAACACAAACUUUGAAAUCUGACCUCAAAUCAGGUAGGACUACCCGCUGA